UCCAGCGUGUCCAUUCUUCAAGCCCUUCAAUUCACAUUCACAGUUUUCUUCACCGUUUCCUUUAAUCAUGCCUUAAUCACAUAUCUAUUAUGCUAUAAUCAACAUUCCAUGGACUAUCAAUGGCCUCUGAAUCAUCUCCUUCCUCCAUGGUUUAGGUUCACGACGAAAUCUUCCCUCCCUCGAAAUCUUCUUUAUUUGCCUCUCAAUUUUUCUUCGUUAUUUCCAUUGAUUAUGCUCUAAUCAGGAAACUAUCAUUAGCUGAUGCUCAAUUCUCCGAUCCGACCAUAGCACCUGGCACAGCCACCAAUGGCUGCCCUGCCGCAGGCGAAAAAUUGCCAUCGCCGCUGAUGCCCAACUUCUCUGAUCGCCCACCCUCUCCGACCCGACCAUGGCACCUGGCACAACCGCCAAUGGCUGCCCCGCCGUAGGUGAAAAAUCGCCAUCGCCGCCGAUGCCCAACUUCUCCGAUCGCCCACCCCUUGCUCUAUCUCACUCGGUCGUCGGGCUAGAAAUCGCCAUCACCAGCGACGCCCAACUUCUCCGAUCUCCUCCCAUUUUCACACUCGAGUGGCGCCGAGAAGAAGAAACUCUUCACCUCCAUCAUCAGCUCCUAUCUGCCAUUAAAAUAUGCAUCUGAAACUUGAUUUUGUCCGCAUCACCAACAUGGUAGAUGGCAAGCGAGGAUCGGCCGUGUGGCCGGCAACAAGGAUCUCUACCUUGGGACAUUCGGUAAGUUUGUGAUGAUCAAAUCAAAUGAGGUAAUUUUACUAAUUUGUUUGUGUGAAAAUGUCAUAUAGUAGUAUGUUUGUUUCUUGCAUUUGUGACUAUGUCUUUAUUUGCUACUCUUCUUUUUGAAUGGUGAGUUGUGAUUGCUUUUGCUAAGGCUGAUUCACACAGCAACUUUGACUGUACGUAGCUGGUUUUUAGUGGGACUCCACUUUUUUUUUUCGAUAUAAGUGGGACUCCACUUUUGCUAAGGCUGUUUUAGUUUUUUAUAGACAAAAUAAGAAAGAGAGAAUUGGAUGAAUGUUGAUUUUUUGUGUAUAUGGUUUGAUUUUGCUGUCUGGAGCUCUUUCUUCGUCAAUAUUUCUUAGUUCUUAAGAUUAUUUUCUAUGAUUAUCUUAAUUUCCUCUGUCUUUCAGUUUGACUUGGUAGUAAUUCUGCCAAAUAAACUUUUUUAUCCAUGUUUGAGCUCUUAAAAAAAACAAGAUAUCUCAAGACAUUUUUUAAAAAUAAUACUACGAACUUGCUGUGUAAUUAUGUGUUUGACAAAAUGCUUGAGAGAACCCUGUGAAUUUUUCUUCACAUUCUUGAAAUUGUCUCUUGUUGAUUCUUUUCUUCUUCUUUUUGUUGCACGGAUUAAAGUAGAAGCUUGAUAUUAGAGCUGCUGCAGAACUUUGAUUUCCCUUCGACUUCUUUUCUUGAAAGAAAUCUGAAGUGAAGAUGCUGAAAUGAGGUGCAUUGACUUUGGUCAUUCUGAUUUUCACCGGGACAGGUAAGAAUCCAGUUUAUCACCCUGUUGUUUGAAAAUUGUUAUUUUUUGUCUUGCUAGAAAACCUCAUAGAUUUUCUUCCUAAAGGACAGAUGAGGCAUUGCUUGAUAAGUUAAU
Long non-coding RNA from Salvia miltiorrhiza (redroot sage), 1609 nucleotides. RefSeq lists it as uncharacterized. The transcript is spliced from 3 exons. Lineage: Eukaryota; Viridiplantae; Streptophyta; Magnoliopsida; Lamiales; Lamiaceae. The record is from RefSeq and is a predicted model, not a curated record.